RNAcentral lists this ribosomal RNA (508 nucleotides) under uncultured bacterium. RNAcentral describes it as "partial 16S ribosomal RNA". It matches the Rfam family "Bacterial small subunit ribosomal RNA", at positions 28 to 507 of the family's 1533-position model. The record is from RNAcentral.
GACGAACGCUGGCGGCGUGCCUAAUACAUGCAAGUCGAACGCUUCUUUCCUCCCGAGUGCUUGCACUCAAUUGGAAAGAGGAGUGGCGGACGGGUAAGUAACACGUGGGUAACCUACCCAUCAGAGGGGGAUAACACUUGGAAACAGGUGCUAAUACCGCAUAACAGUUUAUGCCGCAUGGCAUAAGAGUGAAAGGCGCUUUCGGGUGUCGCUGAUGGAUGGACCCGCGGUGCAUUAGCUAGUUGGUGAGGUAACGGCUCACCAAGGCCACGAUGCAUAGCCGACCUGAGAGGGUGAUCGGCCACACUGGGACUGAGACACGGCCCAGACUCCUACGGGAGGCAGCAGUAGGGAAUCUUCGGCAAUGGACGAAAGUCUGACCGAGCAACGCCGCGUGAGUGAAGAAGGUUUUCGGAUCGUAAAACUCUGUUGUUAGAGAAGAACAAGGACGUUAGUAACUGAACGUCCCCUGACGGUAUCUAACCAGAAAGCCACGGCUAACUACGUG